AUGAUAUCGUGUUCAUCAAGAGUCAUUUCGUCAAGAAGAGAAGCAUACAUAACAACUUCAUGUAUGUGUGAAAUUUGGCUAGAAGAUUCCAUCGUACUAAGAAACCCAUGCUCCUGUUCAAACUUGACAUUAAGAAGGCCUUUGACUCAUUUAGAUGGGGCCUUUGACUCAUUUAGAUGGGACUACUUGAUGGAGAUGUUGAGUUACCAUGGCUUCCCUACCUGCUUCCAUGAUUGGAUCUCAACACUUCUCUCUUCGGCAUCCUCGAGAGUCUUGCUCAAUGGACUUGCCAGUGAUACUGAUCAAGCAUGA
Molecule: ribosomal RNA, 312 nt
Filed under: Triticum aestivum (bread wheat)
Lineage: Eukaryota; Viridiplantae; Streptophyta; Magnoliopsida; Poales; Poaceae
Description: partial small subunit ribosomal RNA
Source: RNAcentral